This 4745-nucleotide long non-coding RNA is filed under the name Homo sapiens (human). Its description in RNAcentral is "LHRI_LNC9.7". Lineage: Eukaryota; Metazoa; Chordata; Mammalia; Primates; Hominidae. The record is from RNAcentral.
UUUCAUACUGCUGUUGAUGAUGUGAAUUUUGGAAAUAUUCUCCCCUAUUGGGUCUUUCUCCAUGACAGAUGAUGUCCUUUGGCUUCGGUUUUUUGCCUAAGAACUGUAAGUGGUGCUUGCUAGCCCUACUAAGAAUCCUGCCAUUGUUGCAAAUUUCAGAAAAAAGGCUGGAGUGCAGUGGUGCACACGCCUCACACUGUGACACAGCGGGAGAGCCCAGAGCGACAGCUGUUGGAAUGACUGCACUCUUCCUGCUCAAGUCUGACCUUUCCAAGGUAAUGGUGCUCAGAAAAAGAAGCCAAUCAGGAGAUCUGUUUUCUGUGCCCUUUUAACACUUCUAACUCAGGCACCCAAACCAGCCUGUAGCAGAAAGAGCAUCAAAGCCAUCCUCUGGACUCUACACAAGGGUCUCACUCUGUCACCCAGGUUGGAGUAAAGUGGUAUGAUCAUGGCUCACUGCAGCCUCGAACUCCUGGGCUCAAGCAAUCCUCCUGCCUCAGCCUCCUGAGUAGCUGGGACUACAGCCUUUGUCCUAUGUCUGGAGACUUCUUGGAAGCUGGAGCACACAAAUAGCUACAGCAAACUUGAGGAAUGGGCAUGAAUAGACUGGCUUCGGGGAACCUGCCAGCUUGGCCGUGUGGCCAAGGUAAUAGGCAAGCCAAGGCAGAGCUAGAGCUCAGAGCUGGAGGGGAAAUUAAAGCAGCAAAUGUAGAAACAUUAAGCCUGAAGAGGCGACGACGUUGAAUUCUAAAAUGCAGGCCAAAGCUCAGACUGCAAGCUGUCUGGCUGCUCCGGGUGUGCCCAGAAGUCAAAGUCCAGCAGGGGCAAAGGUGGAGGUGUGGUCCUGCACGUGGGGUGUUGGGGGGAUGUGGAAGAGGAGGUGCUUUAAGAUCCAGAGAUUCCAGCUGCCCUGGUGCACCCUUGGAAGAAUAAAAGGCUAGGAACUGGACAAGUCAGGCUCGAGUCCAAGCUGCCUGAGGAAUCGGGGAAAGAAUGGAGCUCAGAGUGGGAGGUCAGGGCAGUAUUUAAAAAUCCAGGAUAGCAGCAAAGCUGGCGGUGGCCCCUGACUCUGGUAAGGGCAGCCUGCAGCACCAUGCCAAGGGGGGCCUGACUGAUCAUGCCCUGCAUUUGCAAACAAGGAUUAGUAGGGUAUGAGUAGGAUUCUGCUGGUGCCUGGGAAGGCAGUGCCAUCUACAACUUUACAAAGUUUUAACAAAGGCCUGAAGGACACAACCUUCCCCAAAGUCCUGACGUCGCUGUUUGCUGGCAACAAAUAGAGUCAAAAGAAGAGAGGCACAGAAUGUGCCAGGGGUGUGCUGCGUACAGCCCCGAUGACCACAAGGCCUUCUUGGGUCAAGUUCUGCCAUCUCUGGUUAAGAUGGGCUCACCCUCUAGGACCCUGAUUGAGUCCUCGGACCACCAAGAGUGCCCCACCAAGAGCCUCCCUCUUCUGGUGACUCGUGCCUGCUUCCCGUGGAGAGCUCCAGAAGGGAGGAAACUGUGAGGAGGUGGAGAACGUGGCAGGGAUCCUAACUUUCUUACUGAAGGAAGUUCUUCACAAGUACCCAUCUGCCUUCAGGGAAGAAAACAUAACUCAUUUUGGUCUUUCAAAUUCAGUUCUCAAAACCAAAUCCUGUUGUCAGCAAUCUGUGUCCCAACGCCUUCUUCAGCAACAGCAUUUUCCCUGUGGAAUUAGUUUCCAAUGUUCUUUCUUAAAUAAACCACUGAAGAUUAAAAGGAAUCCAGAUACCCACCACAUUUUGUUUCCUUAAUGAGUAAUUAUCACAUUUCUUUGGCUACUUAAAUGCAUUCUCUGAGUCAGGUAAAGGAGAUCGUAAUAGUUAAUCAACAAGAAGUAAUUCUUGGGUACUUAACAAUAGUCUAAGCACUUAAUCAUACUUAAAAUUGACUAUUAAUGAACCUUAUAAACCAUUUUGCAAUUCUGAAAGUGAAUUUCUCUGCAGGCUUAGAGAUUACUAAGCCAUUUAGAUCUUACCAAACAAAUAUUAUUCAUGCUUUAAUUCCUGGGAAAAGAAAUUUAGAAAAUGAGGUUAAUGUUCAGUUGUCCUUUCCUGAGUUUAACAAUUAUAUAUUCCAUCUGGGAUGCUCUGAACUCAGGUUAAACAUUCUUCAAGUUAUUCCCACAUUUUUCAAGUUAUUCCCACGUUAGUGACCUACUUUAUUAGUAUUAUUACUAAAGAAAAGGGCUGGGUGCGGUGGCCCACAUCUGUAAUCCCAGCACUUUGGGAGGCUGAAGCAGGAGGAUCACUUGAGCUUGGGAGUUCAAGACCAGCCUGAGAGGGAGACUCCGUCUCUACAAAAAAAAAAAAAUUAGCCAGGUAUGGUGGCACGCGCUCAUGGGCCCAGCUACUCAAGGAGGCUGAGGUGGGAGGAUCACGUGAACCUGGGAGGCAGAGCCUGCAGUGAGCCCUGGUUGUGCCUCUGUACUCAAGCCUGAGAGACAGAGUGAGACCCUGUCUCCAAACAAUAAAGUAAAAUAAAUAAAUAAAUAAAUAAGAAUGCAAAUCAAAGACAUUAAGAAAUAGCUUUACUUUAAUGUAGGCAUUUAAGGUAAAAUAGGUCACAUUCUCUUUUUUAAAAAAAUUACUGACCCACAGAAAAACAAGUCAAAAAGCAGACUAUUUCAUAUUAGUGUCUUUUUUUUAAAGAGGAUUAAUAUAAAUUGCCUUCUCACCUGUUUUUAAAAUAAAGGACUGAAUGAUAGAACUUAGACAACAAAUCUAGUAGCAUGAUAAAAGCCUUUCUUUGAUAGCUAGAAAAGGUAAACAAAGAAUAAAACAGGGUGAAGAAGAAAGAGGACAGAUAGAAUGUGAAUAUUAUCUACCUUUUUCUCAAGAUAAAACUAAUAUUGCUUUCUAAAAAGAAGCAAUUCUUUAGAGCAGAGGUCAGCAAACUUUUUCUAUAAAGAGCCAGAUAUUAACUAUUUUAUAAUUUGCAAACCACAUAAGUCCUCUGUUUCAUAUGGGUUUUUUUCUUUUUUCUUUUUAAACAAUACUUUAAAAAUGCUGAAAAUAUUCUUAGCUUACAUCUACAAAAAAGCAGGCAGUGGGCUGAUUUGACUCACAGGUGGUAUAGCUUGCUAAUUCCUGCUUUAGAUUUUAAGAAUGAGGCAGAUGUUGCCAGAAUUUGCUCUAAUUUACUAUGAGGUUUGCAAAUAAAAGUGCUCUUGACAUGAAAACUUGCUAUUUUUAAUGGAAAGACAUGUACAGCCCUUUCUCAGGAAGUGGAGAUUAAUGCAUAAAAUUUUAUUUUCCUAACAUAAAGCAUGUUUUUUCAAAAAAUGGCUUCUCCAUCUUGUGGCCCUUUGAUUAUGAUAGCUCUGAAAGCUUUGAAAAGCUUGCAAAUACUCAACUUCAGGAAUAAAACCACCUAUGAGACCCUCACCUGAAGGCAGGAUCUUUCCUGCAGCCUUGAGUCUUCCUAAUCAGAACCAUUGUUUCGUAAACUGGACUCCGAAGACAACACUUAAAGUCACUCAAGUUCGCUACAAAAUUCUUGUUUUGUGUUUUCAUUUCUAAAGACAAUAAAAAUAAUUGAUAUGAUCAAGUUUGGGAUUAUCUAGAUGAUCUAGACAACUAUUGCGGUCAAAAUAGGCCUGAUCACAGGCAUUUUCAGUACCCAUGGAAUUCUAGAGCUUUGGAUACUUGUCUAGUCUGUUUGGGUCACUAUAACAAAAUGCCAUAAACUGGGUGCUUAUAAAGAACAGAAUUUUAUUUCCCACAGUUCUGCAGGCUGGGAAGUCCAAAAUCGAGGCAGAUUUGAUGUCCUCAAGUGAUGGAAGAAUCAAGAGGUCUCUCUGGGGGCUCUUUUAUAAGGGCACUAACCCCAUUCAUGAGAGCAGAGCCUAAUUACCUCCCUAAGGCCCCAACUCCUAAUACUAUCACCUUGAGGGUGAGGAGGGAAACAUAAAAAUACCAUAGUAAUACUAAUAGGUACAUCAGUGAAGAACAAUAUCACAGUAUCGUGUAGACAGGAAGAUUUUGCUGCAAUUUGGUUGUUAAAACAAAAAGUCGUGGGUGGAUACAAUCAUCAGACAGUUCAGAAGUGGCAUCCACGUACUCACCCAAAGGAGGUGCACUGCAGUUGUGGGAGCCCUGUGCUUGCUACUAGCAGUGACUUAAUUUCUGCAAAGCUAUGUGAUCACAUUCAACUAUGCUAGUUAACUUUAAUUUUACUGAAUUUGGUUUAGGUAGGUAGUUUGUAAAUUUAACUUUCUACUUGUAUAAGAAGUAUAAUUAUAAAAACAGCAGGUCAGCACGACAGGUCUGAGAGAAUCUGUAUUCUGUAAAAAAAUACCUAUUUCUUACUUGGCGAAAAACAUUAGUCAAUGUUGCACCAAAAACCCCCCAAAAGCUAUAGAUCAGAUAUUGACUAAAAUGAAUAUACAAAAAUCUUGACUGGAAAUAUUUUAAGUCAAAACUAACAGCCUAUUUCAGGUAUUGACAGAACAAAUUCCAGAAGCAGAAUAACUGAAACAAUCAUGUUGAAAUUAAUUAUAAUGGGCAGAAUUUGACUGAAACUUGUUACCACCUUCACCAAAAUAUAGCCUUUCUUAUACUAUCAAAUGUAUUGAAUAAAUUGUGAGCACUUUCUUGUACAACUUCUAAAAAUUUAGCUUUGCUUUUGUUAUCUGAAUAUUGUACAGGAAUAUGAGCAUGCAAAUAAGAUCUUUGUUUAGUUUCAAGUCUUUUUAUAACUAAAUCUGCUGGCAUUAGACAAUAAAU